This 72-nucleotide transfer RNA is filed under the name Camelus bactrianus (Bactrian camel). It matches the Rfam family "tRNA". From Rfam's summary of the family: Transfer RNA (tRNA) molecules are approximately 80 nucleotides in length. Their secondary structure includes four short double-helical elements and three loops (D, anti-codon, and T loops). RNAcentral also lists the same sequence under 1 other name. Lineage: Eukaryota; Metazoa; Chordata; Mammalia; Artiodactyla; Camelidae. The record is from Rfam by way of RNAcentral.
GAGGGUGUAGCUCAGUGGUAGAGUACAUGCUUAGCAUGCACAAGUUCCUGGAUUCAAUCCUCAGUACCUCCA